UACGUAGGGUGCGAGCGUUAAUCGGAAUUACUGGGCGUAAAGCGUGCGCAGGCGGCGCCGCAAGUCAGGCGUGAAAUCCCCGAGCUUAACUUGGGAAUGGCGCUUGAAACUACUUGGCUGGAGUGUGGCAGAGGAAGGUGGAAUUCCAGGUGUAGCGGUGAAAUGCGUAGAGAUCUGGAGGAACACCGAUGGCGAAGGCAGCUCUCUGGGACGGUACUGACGCUGAGACGCGAAAGCGUGGGGAGCGAACAGG
Molecule: ribosomal RNA, 253 nt
Filed under: uncultured bacterium
Lineage: Bacteria
Description: partial 16S ribosomal RNA
Rfam family: Bacterial small subunit ribosomal RNA
Source: RNAcentral